Molecule: ribosomal RNA, 419 nt
Filed under: bacterium
Lineage: Bacteria
Description: partial 16S ribosomal RNA
Rfam family: Bacterial small subunit ribosomal RNA
Source: RNAcentral
UGGGGGAUAUUGCACAAUGGGCGAAAGCCUGAUGCAGCGACGCCGCGUGGGGGAUGAAGGCCUUCGGGUUGUAAACUUCUUUUGCUCUGAACAAGGCAUGCUAAUGGGUGUGUUGAGUGUAGGGGUUGAUUAGCGCCGGCUAACUACGUGCCAGCAGCCGCGGUAAUACGUAGGGCGCGAGCGUUGUCCGGAAUUAUUGGGCGUAGAGGGCUUGUAGGUGGCUGGUUGCGUCUGUCGUGAAAGCUCAUGGCUUAACUGUGGGUUUGCGGUGGGUACGGGCUGGCUUGAGUGCAGUGGGGGAGGCUGGAAUUCCUGGUGGAGCGGUGGAGUGCGCAGAUAUCAGGAGGAAUACCGGUGGCGAAGGCGGGUCUCUGGGCUGUUACUGACACUGAGGAGCGAAAGCAUGGGGAGCGAACAGG